Molecule: RNA transcript, 1710 nt
Organism: Salvia splendens (bonfire salvia)
Lineage: Eukaryota; Viridiplantae; Streptophyta; Magnoliopsida; Lamiales; Lamiaceae
Exons: 5
Source: RefSeq, a predicted model, not a curated record
CUUGAAGAACAUGUCUAGAAAAAGAUUGACAUUUCCAAUGCUACCCUCAUCUCAUUUCAAUCUUUCUUCUUCCACAACAUAAGCCACUCAAACUCCAUCGAGGACGGCGGGUAAUCGGCGGAAAAACCAUUGAAGCUGGAGAGGAUUUUCCGGCGCCGUGUGUGGGAACCAAGAAUUACCCAUCCCCAUCCAAUUGCAGAUCCAUAAUCAUUUUCCAGACAAGUUGCACCAGUAGGGGUCUGUUACCCUGGAUAAUGGUGGGUUGUCAAACGAAGCACUAGCGUUGAUGAUCUUUGACAUUAUUCGCGUGCAUCAACUACGGAUUAUAUGUUGUCUUCAAGCCCAUGGCAUGCUAGCAGAUGUUGAGCAAGGUGAGGACAGGAGGAGGGUUAGGCGUAAAUUUUCUCGUUUAGAGAGAAUCCCUGCCCAAGUUCAUCACCUCACACGACUGGUCGGUUUGAACGACAAGGAGUGCAUUGAUAAUCUUCGAAUGGAUCGUAAUUGCUUCGGGAGAUUAUGUUUAUUGCUGCGUGAACAGGCUGGCUUAGUCGAUGGGAAGUAUGUAUAUGUUGAAGAACAAAUUGCAAUGUUCUUAGGUGUGCUCGCUCAUCAUGAUAAAAAUCGAAGGGUGGGAUUUCAUUUCUGGAGAUCCGGGCAAACAAUAUCACACUAUGUUAAUGUCGUCCUCAAAGCCGUUAUUAUGUUACACGAAUUAUUUCUGGCAAAACCCCUUCCUGUGGAUGACCAAUGUCAGGAUUCAAGAUGGAAGUGGUUUCCGAUGAGAGUGUAAAAUUCAAAGGAUGCUUAGGUGCCCUAGAUGGGACCUGUAUCAAUGUGUUAGUUGGGAGCGACGAUAAACCACGCUACCGCAAUAGGAAGGGACAAAUUGCUACAAAUACAUUAGCUGUAUGCACUAGGGACAUGCGCUUUGUGUACGUGCUCGCCGGAUGGGAGGGAUCAGCCGGAGAUGCGAGGGUGUUACGUGACGCAGUCACACGUCCACAUGGGAUAAAAGUUCUGAAAGGGCAAUAUUAUCUAUGCGAUAACGGUUACGCCAACAGCGAAGGCUUUCUUACUCCUUACAAAGGUGUCCAUUACCAUCUUCAAUAAUGGGGCCCUGCUGCCAUGGUGCCUGAAAACCCGAAAGAAAUGUAUAACAUGCGCCACACCAAGGCGAGGAAUGUGAUAGAGCGCGCGUUUGCCGUUGUGAAGAUGAGAUGGGGAAUUUUGCGUAGUGCUUCGUUUUAUCCGAUCACUACACAAAUAAGGUUGAUCCUUUCAUGCUUUCUCUUGCAUAACUUCAUACGUGACCAAAUGACUGUCGAUCCAAUCGAGCAAGAGUUAGAUGUUGAGCACAUUCACCUUGGACUUGAAGAGGAGCAGCCAGAGCACAACGUUUAUGUAGACACGAUUGAGCCCACACCGGCUUGGAAUAAUAAACGCAACGAACUUGCUGAAACUAUGUGACUUAGUGCAGGUAAUGCUCAACAUGUUUAAGCUCAAGUUCAGGUGGAAGCCAUAUUUUCAUCGGAUGGCCCAUGUGCAAUGAAACACAUUUUUUAUGACUGCUUAGUUAUGUUAUAUUUUAGAUUGACCUACUUUAUUUUUUCUAUUGCUUUGUGUUGUCUUGGUGUUGUCUUCAGUGAAUAGAUGCUCUUGAUUAUGACCUAUGUGUUGAUUCAUUGAGUGUGGUGUAAGUCUGUUUCAACU